AAUAUAACAAAUAUAUCAAAACGUUAACCUAGCGACGGAGUCCUGGUAUCGCGGUCUUAAUUUCAAUAUCAUACACAGCACAGUAAAUCGGCCAAACAAGCGUCUACUUCGCAAAUGUCCCCCACACAGCCACACUGCAACGGUGGCGAUAUAGCAUUAAAAUGGGACACAAUUUUACCGCCACUGUUGCACGUAAAAUUUCUUCGAUUGACUUAUUACAAAUGACUUUCUGGUUCAUUCCAAUGUAACGGCUUCCGUAAUCUAUAAUACGGAUCUAUCAGUAAAUUUAUGAAUUCACAAGUGGUAAUUUUAUGAAAUAAACACUAUUAUCAAUAACGACAGCUCAACUAUGGCUAAAACUACUAUGAAAAUAUUCAUUAAUCUUAAAAUAAAUACAUUUCAUCACAAUUUAAACUAAAUGAUUUUUUUUUCAUAAAACUUCAAUGAAAUAAAAAAUAAUAAAUUUAAUAA
Long non-coding RNA from Aphis gossypii (cotton aphid), 471 nucleotides. RefSeq lists it as uncharacterized. The record is from RefSeq and is a predicted model, not a curated record. The transcript is spliced from 3 exons. NCBI's taxonomy places the organism in Eukaryota, Metazoa, Arthropoda, Insecta, Hemiptera, Aphididae.